Molecule: ribosomal RNA, 1047 nt
Filed under: Salmonella enterica
Lineage: Bacteria; Pseudomonadati; Pseudomonadota; Gammaproteobacteria; Enterobacterales; Enterobacteriaceae
Also listed under: 1 other name
Description: partial 23S ribosomal RNA
Rfam family: Bacterial large subunit ribosomal RNA
Source: RNAcentral
AAUCCAUAGGUUAAUGAGGCGAACCGGGGGAACUGAAACAUCUAAGUACCCCGAGGAAAAGAAAUCAACCGAGAUUCCCCCAGUAGCGGCGAGCGAACGGGGAGGAGCCCAGAGCCUGAAUCAGCAUGUGUGUUAGUGGAAGCGUCUGGAAAGGCGCGCGAUACAGGGUGACAGCCCCGUACACAAAAGCGCAUGUGCUGUGAGCUCGAUGAGUAGGGCGGGACACGUGGUAUCCUGUCUGAAUAUGGGGGGACCAUCCUCCAAGGCUAAAUACUCCUGACUGACCGAUAGUGAACCAGUACCGUGAGGGAAAGGCGAAAAGAACCCCGGCGAGGGGAGUGAAAAAGAACCUGAAACCGUGUACGUACAAGCAGUGGGAGCACCCUUUGGGUGUGACUGCGUACCUUUUGUAUAAUGGGUCAGCGACUUAUAUUCUGUAGCAAGGUUAACCGAAUAGGGGAGCCGGAGGGAAACCGAGUCUUAACCGGGCGUUAAGUUGCAGGGUAUAGACCCGAAACCCGGUGAUCUAGCCAUGGGCAGGUUGAAGGUUGGGUAACACUAACUGGAGGACCGAACCGACUAAUGUUGAAAAAUUAGCGGAUGACCUGUGGCUGGGGGUGAAAGGCCAAUCAAACCGGGAGAUAGCUGGUUCUCCCCGAAAGCUAUUUAGGUAGCGCCUCGUGAAUUCAUCUCCGGGGGUAGAGCACUGUUUCGGCUAGGGGGCCAUCCCGGCUUACCAACCCGAUGCAAACUGCGAAUACCGGAGAAUGUUAUCACGGGAGACACACGGCGGGUGCUAACGUCCGUCGUGAAGAGGGAAACAACCCAGACCGCCAGCUAAGGUCCCAAAGUCAUGGUUAAGUGGGAAACGAUGUGGGAAGGCCCAGACAGCCAGGAUGUUGGCUUAGAAGCAGCCAUCAUUUAAAGAAAGCGUAAUAGCUCACUGGUCGAGUCGGCCUGCGCGGAAGAUGUAACGGGGCUAAACCAUGCACCGAAGCUGCGGCAGCGACACUGUGUGUUGUUGGGUAGGGGAGCGUUCUGUAAGCC